GCAGAUGUGGCCGAGUGAUUAAGGCGACUGACUAGAAAUCAGUUUCCUUCUGGGUGGGUUCGAAUCCUACCAUCUGCG
Molecule: non-coding RNA, 78 nt
Organism: Daphnia carinata
Lineage: Eukaryota; Metazoa; Arthropoda; Branchiopoda; Diplostraca; Daphniidae
Source: the annotation of a RefSeq genome assembly